CCUACGGGAGGCUGCAGUGGGGAAUCUUGCGCAAUGGGCGAAAGCCUGACGCAGCGACGCCGCGUGAGGGAUGAAGGUCUUCGGAUCGUAAACCUCUGUCAGCAGGGAAGAACGGUCACUGUGCUAAUCGGCAGUGUAUUGACGGUACCUGCAAAGGCAGCACCGGCUAACUCCGUGCCAGCAGCCGCGGUAAUACGGAGGGGGCGAGCGUUAGUCGGAAUUACUGGGCGUAAAGCGCUCGUAGGCGGUGUGUCAAGUCAUGGGUGAAAGCCACGCGCGAAACUUGGGAAAUGCCUUUGAAACUGGCAAACUGGAGUGUGUGAGAGGAUAGCAGAAUUCCAGGUGUAGGAGUGAAAUCCGUAGAUAUCAGGAGGAAUACCAGUGGCGAAGGCGACUAUCUGGCACAUAACUGACGCUGAGGAGCGAAAGCGUGGGUAGCAAACAGGAUUAGAUACCCCAGUAGUC
RNAcentral lists this ribosomal RNA (465 nucleotides) under uncultured bacterium. RNAcentral's name for it is "partial 16S ribosomal RNA". It matches the Rfam family "Bacterial small subunit ribosomal RNA", at positions 338 to 795 of the family's 1533-position model. The record is from RNAcentral.